RNAcentral lists this ribosomal RNA (465 nucleotides) under uncultured bacterium. Its description in RNAcentral is "partial 16S ribosomal RNA". It matches the Rfam family "Bacterial small subunit ribosomal RNA", at positions 338 to 795 of the family's 1533-position model. The record is from RNAcentral.
CCUACGGGAGGCAGCAGUAGGGAAUCUUCCACAAUGGGCGCAAGCCUGAUGGAGUAACGCCGCGUGGGUGAAGAAGGUCUUCGGAUCGUAAAACCCUGUUGUUAGAGAAGAAGGUUCGUGAGAGUAACUAUUCACGUUUCGACGGUAUCUACCCAAGAAGCACCGGCUAACUACGUGCCAGCAGCCGCGGUAAUACGUAGGUGGCAAGCGUUAUCCGGAUUUAUUGGGCGUAAAGGGCACGCAGGCGGUCUUUUAAGUCUGAUGUGAAAGCCUUCGGCUUAACCGGAGGAGUGCAUUGGAAACUGGGAGACUUGAGUGCAGAAGAGGAGAGUGGAACUCCACGUGUAGCGGUGAAAUGCGUAGAUAUAUGGAAGAACACCAGUGGCGAAAGCGGCUCUCUGGGCUGUAACUGACGCUGAGGUGCGAAAGCGUGGGUAGCAAACAGGAUUAGAUACCCUGGUAGUC